GGAAGUAAAAGUCGUAACAAGGUUUCCGUAGGUGAACCUGCGGAAGGAUCAUUGUCGAAACCUGCAAAGCAGAAAGACCAGCGGACCCAUUACAACACCCAGGGGUGACCCCAACCCCUGACGCUGAGUGUGUGCAGCCCUGCCUUGCGCCCUCAGCAUAAAACGAACCCAGGCGCGGAACGCGUCAAGGAAUCAUAACGAAACGAGCUCCUGCCGUGGCCCCGGGGACGGUGAUCGCCGCAGCAGCUGUGUUGUGCUUGGUUAAGUCUAAAAUGACUCUCGGCAACGGAUAUCUCGGCUCUCGCAUCGAUGAAGAACGUAGCGAAAUGCGAUACUUGGUGUGAAUUGCAGAAUCCCGUGAACCAUCGAGUCUUUGAACGCAAGUUGCGCCUGAAGCCAUCAGGCUGAGGGCACGUCUGCCUGGGCGUCAAACACCGAUGCCCCCCCAAAUCCCCUCGUCACUCUCCCCUGAGUGCCCGGGGAGUGUGGGGGUCGGAUGAUGGCCUCCCGUGUCUUGGCUCGCGGUUGGCCCAAAGUCGAGUCCUCGGUCACGGUUACCGUGGUGACAGGUGGUUGUCGGUCGCUCGGUACCCCGUCACGUGCGCCGGACACGAAUCGAGACUCUCUUGAUUACCCCAACGCAUCCCCGUUUGGGUGCCUCUGAUGUGACCCCAGGUCAGGCGGGGCUACCCGCUGAGUUUAAGCAUAUCAAUAAGCGGAGGA
RNAcentral lists this ribosomal RNA (723 nucleotides) under Morus alba (white mulberry). RNAcentral describes it as "eukaryotic LSU rRNA". The stretch from base 275 to 430 matches the Rfam family "5.8S ribosomal RNA". The record is from RNAcentral. Lineage: Eukaryota; Viridiplantae; Streptophyta; Magnoliopsida; Rosales; Moraceae.